Molecule: ribosomal RNA, 397 nt
Filed under: uncultured bacterium
Lineage: Bacteria
Description: bacterial SSU rRNA
Rfam family: Bacterial small subunit ribosomal RNA
Source: RNAcentral
AUUGAACGCUGGCGGCAUGCUUUACACAUGCAAGUCGAACGGCAGCGCGAAGAAAGCUUGCUUUCUUUGGCGGCGAGUGGCGAACGGGUGAGUAAUACAUCGGAACGUGCCCUGUAGUGGGGGAUAACUACUCGAAAGAGUAGCUAAUACCGCAUACAACCUGAGGGUAAAAGUGGGGGACCGCAAGGCCUCAUGCUAUAGGAGCGGCCGAUGGAAGAUUAGCUAGUUGGUAGGGUAAAGGCCUACCAAGGCGACGAUCUUUAGCGGGUCUGAGAGGACGAUCCGCCACACUGGGACUGAGACACGGCCCAGACUCCUACGGGAGGCAGCAGUGGGGAAUUUUGGACAAUGGGGGCGAACCCUGAUCCAGCAAUGCCGCGUGAGUGAAGAAGGCCUC